Molecule: ribosomal RNA, 466 nt
Filed under: uncultured bacterium
Lineage: Bacteria
Description: partial 16S ribosomal RNA
Rfam family: Bacterial small subunit ribosomal RNA
Source: RNAcentral
GAUGAACGCUGGCGGCGUGCUUAACACAUGCAAGUCGAACGGAAAGGCCACAGCUUGCUGUGGUACUCGAGUGGCGAACGAGUGAGUAACACGUGGGUGAUCUGCCCUGUACUUCGGGAUAAGCUUGGGAAACUGGGUCUAAUACCGGAUAGGAAUCACAUGUGGGUGUGUGGUUGGAAAGCUUUUGCGGUAUGGGAUGAGCUCGCGGCCUAUCAGCUUGUUGGUGGGGUAAUGGCCUACCAAGGCGUCGACGGGUAGCCGGCCUGAGAGGGUGUACGGCCACAUUGGGACUGAGAUACGGCCCAGACUCCUACGGGAGGCAGCAGUGGGGAAUAUUGCACAAUGGGCGCAAGCCUGAUGCAGCGACGCCGCGUGGGGGAUGACGGCCUUCGGGUUGUAAACUCCUUUCGUCAGGGACGAAGCGAAAGUGACGGUACCUGGAUAAGAAGCACCGGCUAACUACGUG